AUACUCACAGAAAGGGAAAUUUAGAUCCUCCACCAUGACAUUAACAGCCAUCUUUUGUGAUUUGAACAGGUCCCCAGUGGUACCCUUCCCGUGUCGGACUGCAACUGGAACGCAAUGGGCCUUUUUUGAAGGAUUCUGUUAACAUCCAAAGCCUUGCCGUUUCCUCCAUCAUCACGCUGUAUUUUACAGACCUGGGUCAGCAGGUCGGAUGGACCACACAGGUCACUAUGGACAAGGAAGCAUUACUACAGGACACUUAGAAUGGACAUGCUAUUUCCCAGCUCCUUCUCUGUUGACCAGUGCACUCAGGGUUGAUGUUACUGCCAGAACUGCCCUUGACUUUGAGGAGUCAGCUUCUGGAUCAGCACUGGGAGGUCACACAUCCAUCUCACCAGCUUAAGCUCAUGUGCAUUUCUCUCUCUCCAGGGAAGCAGACAGCCCCUAGCAGCACACACUCUGGGACGUUCUACCCCAUGUGACCAUGAGCUAUGUCUCUUCUUCCCAGUUCUAACAACAAAACCCAAGACCCGACAAGCAGUUGACUUCAGUAGAGUUACAGUAGGUCACAAUGUGUGACCUACUCAUUUCAGCAGAGGUCUGAGGCUUUACCCCAUGGAUUCCCAUGCUGAUUAAUGACCUGCUAGAACAUACUAAUUAAUGCUAGUUGGGGUCCUGCUUCCCCACCAGCCUGUCCCACCACCUCUCAACCGUGCAAUUCCCUUGCAAAGCAAAAUUGUGAGUUGUAGCAAACAGUCUCCUGUUUGCUACAACUAAGUAAUCUGCAUGAACCUUAUUUAUUCUCUCCUUUCCUGGUGGUUUAUGUAGCCUAAGACAGUAACAUAACUAAAGCUUAAUAUCCCAUUAUAAAUAGUGCAGUUAUGGCUCGGCAUCGAUACUGCAGGCAGUGGCAUUUUUUUUUUUAUGAUUUAAUCUGUGCGUGCAGAAAGUUGUCUCCACGAGUUUCUGAAUAUUCAUCUUACCCCAUUCACUUCCAUAUUCUAAAUUGUCUCCAUUCUUAGUGGGAGAAAUCUUCCUAGCCACAUCAUUUCAACAGUCAAGAGAUUUUUUUAUAUUAUAGCUAGUCUAUAUAGCAAUAGAGAAAAAGUUCAUACAAGCUUGUAUUCUGACAAUAGCAAUUAAGAAUGUAUUUGUACACAGGAUGUAUAGUUUUAUUGCCAUUUUUACUGUGCUUAGAGCUUCCAUUUCCCCAUCUGCCUUGAUGCUCUAUCAGAUUUACGCACGCAGUGAGGGAUGCUUCUGAGUGAAAGGGUUGACAUUUAAAUAAAUGAGGCACGGAGUAAAAACGAUUUUUAUCACAUCAGCAAAAUGAUAGUUGAGGUGAAAAAGGGCCAC
Molecule: long non-coding RNA, 1353 nt
Organism: Calidris pugnax (ruff)
Lineage: Eukaryota; Metazoa; Chordata; Aves; Charadriiformes; Scolopacidae
Exons: 3
Source: RefSeq, a predicted model, not a curated record